GUAGGUGGCAAGCGUUGUCCGGAAUUAUUGGGCGUAAAGCGCGCGCAGGCGGUCCUUUAAGUCUGAUGUGAAAGCCCACGGCUCAACCGUGGAGGGUCAUUGGAAACUGGGGGACUUGAGUACAGAAGGGGAAAGCGGAAUUCCAAGUGUAGCGGUGAAAUGCGUAGAGAUUUGGAGGAACACCAGUGGCGAAGGCGGCUUUCUGGUCUGUAACUGACGCUGAGGCGCGAAAGCGUGGGGAGCAAACAGGAUUAGAUACCCUGGUAGUCCACGCCGUAAACGAUGAGUGCUAAGUGUUAGGGGGUUUCCCGCCCCCCUUAGUGCUGCAGCUAACGCAUUAAGCACUCCGCCUGGGGGAGUACGGCCGCAAGGCUG
RNAcentral lists this ribosomal RNA (375 nucleotides) under uncultured organism. RNAcentral describes it as "partial 16S ribosomal RNA". It matches the Rfam family "Bacterial small subunit ribosomal RNA", at positions 527 to 896 of the family's 1533-position model. The record is from RNAcentral.